This 274-nucleotide ribosomal RNA is filed under the name uncultured bacterium. Its description in RNAcentral is "partial 16S ribosomal RNA". It matches the Rfam family "Bacterial small subunit ribosomal RNA", at positions 523 to 796 of the family's 1533-position model. The record is from RNAcentral.
CUACAGAGGGUGCAAGCGUUAUUCGGAAUUACAGGGCGUAAAGCGCGCGUAGGCGGAUGAUUAAGUCAGUUGUGAAAGCCCUGGGCUCAACCUAGGAACUGCAUCUGAUACUGGUCGUCUAGAGUUUAAGAGAGGGAAGUGGAAUUCCAGGUGUAGCAGUGAAAUGCGUAGAUAUCUGGAGGAACAUCAGUGGCGAAGGCGACUUCCUGGCUUAAAACUGACGCUGAGGUGCGAAAGCGUGGGUAGCGAACGGGAUUAGAAACCCUAGUAGUCC